Limulus polyphemus (Atlantic horseshoe crab) is the source of this 1179-nucleotide long non-coding RNA. RefSeq lists it as uncharacterized. The record is from RefSeq and is a predicted model, not a curated record. The transcript is spliced from 2 exons. NCBI's taxonomy places the organism in Eukaryota, Metazoa, Arthropoda, Merostomata, Xiphosura, Limulidae.
GCCUGGACAGCCAGCUCCACAGGGACAACAGUACGCGGUACCUGCUCCUUCGGGUCAGUGGAAUCCUGCAGCAUAUCCACAACAACAACAGCAGCAGCAACAACAACAACAACCCCCACCACAACAGCAGGCUUACCCUCAACAAAAUCCGUAUGCUGGGUACAGUUUUCCAGGCUAUGGGCAGUGAUUGUGAUCAUCUGAGAAAACGAGUUCAUUGCUGGUCUGUCUUGCUUGAAAUUUGGUGAUGCUGGUGACUCCGUUUGAAGGGUUUCCUGAUUUAUUCUUGUUUUGCUGAUAGUGUAUUGUGUCAGUAUUUGAAUCCAGGUAACAUUAUGUGGAUGGCCAUGCAAAAAAUUUAACAAACACAUACACACACACAGAAAAAAAAUACAUUAUCAUGGCGUGUUUUAAAUAAGUACAUUUGAUUAUUAUAAUAACUGUAAGACUUCCAGCAGUUAGGUUAUGUCUAAACUUUUCCACUUUCUCUUAAGGUUCCCUAUGAGAGACAGAACAACUGUAUAGACAUUUAAAGUUAUGAAUAUUGGAUGUAUGUGAAUUGUAUUGUCUUUCAGAUUUUACAGUCAUGGUGCACACUCACAUUCCUCAGAAGUGACAAUGGCUAUUUUACAUUAAUUGAGUAAAUCAGUUCCAUCUUAGUUCUGUAUGUUUUGUUUAAUCACAAGUUUUUCAGUAUGACCUCUGAGGCAUAACUAGAAGAGGGAAGGGCCAAUGCAGCUUUUACAAGGAAGUGAAAGUACAGACACUCUGAAACCAUUUUCAGGCUUAAAAAGGAAUUCCACUUUUUUCUUCUUUUUUUUUUUAAUAUUAUUAGUACUAUUAAAAGUUCGGUGUUACCAUGUAUUAAUUUAUAAUCUUCAUUUGAUGCUGUAAUUAUUAUUAUUUUUUUGACAAACCUUAAAAACUAGCCUUUCAGUACUUGGAAUAAUACCUUUUAUGAUUACAGCUGCCUGGCCCUGUUAAUCUUCUUGUAUGGUAAGGUUUAGUCCUUAGUUUUACCACUGCUACACCAGAGAAAUAUGUUGUUUAAUGAUAGAGGCUCCAAAAGAGCUUUUAAGCAGUAUGUUUUUAGCUGUGUAACAUUUGUUAUUGUUUUGUACCCUUGUGAUCAAUAAAUCAUCACAUUUUCAGUGCUUAAUAAAGUUAAGUGAUUAAAGCUUC